UGGGUAUCCAUGAAUGAAGAAGCAGUCACUAGUUGUGUGUUGUUCUUCAUGUUAUACACUAGUACUGUAGAAGAAAUAGGCACUAAACACCUGGACAAAGAGCAAACAGUUCUAAGUGCUUUAAGAGGAGAGAAUUGGUAUAACAAGACAGGAAACUAUUUUAAGAGAACAGAAAAAAGAAACCAAAGAUGUAUGCUUUAUAUUGAUCUGUCAGCUCCUGGUCAUAAAUGCAUGCUUGUCUGUUUUCAUUUCCUCACAAGACCAAGGGAAGGUUAAUUUUGUUUUAUUCACAAAACUAUUAUCUUGACUCAUUGUGUGACCAUAGUAGAACAAGCCAGCCAUAUGUGAUACCCGGAAAGACAGGCUUAAGUGGAAAACCAAAGAUAGACUGUGCCAGAGACUUCUUUUAUAAAGAGAUAAAAUUUACUAAAUUACUGAACAUAAUUCUACUCUAAACAUAUUUUUGUAUAUCAAGUAAAAUUUCUGAGUGUAAGGGAAUACAACUGAAUUUUAAAACUGUAUAAUAGGAUUGGCAUUCACUGUUCAUAACAUGAUGUGAUAGCUCACUGCUCCUUUAAGGCUUCCAGUUCUGGUGCUGUGCCUCAUCAGCUUAGCAUGUUAAGAGGAUACCAAGAGAUCCAUAACUCAGCAAGCUGAAUAUACUUGACACAACUGAAAUAUGCGCCCAAAAGAGUUAUUUGACCUUAUGUGCUUCUUACCACAAUUUAAAAAAAAGUUGUUUUAUUCAGUGUAUGUGUCUAUGUCUGUGUAUUCCUGAGUGUGUAUGCCAGAGCAUAGCAUGGGUAUAGACAAGGGAAGUCAACUUGCAGGAAUCAAUUCUUUCCGCUGUGAUGUGCUUCCCUGAGAUCUAACUCAAGUGUCCAGACUUGGCGGCACACAGUCUUACCCUAUGAGCCAUCUCUGCAGUCCUACCAUACCGUGUGUGACUGUACCAUGUGUGUGAGUGUGUGUGUGAGUGUGUGUGUGUGUGUGUGUGUGUGUGUGUGUGUGUGUGUGUGGUGGGGGUCCUGUGUAUGUGAACCCACAUCUCCUGCAUUUGAUGGUUCGAGAUACAAGCUGGCUUUCUGAAUGUUUCAGCAGUUACUAAUCAACAAGAAGGUUGCCCUUUCUGUAUUUUUUCCCUCAAACACAAAAAUGCUAUGACAGGAAUGAAACACAAGUUACAUACUUGACUUACUGCCCAGAAGAUACCCUGGGAUCCAUAACAUGGCUUAAAGAUUUAAGAAAGACCUUUAGUCUACUUCUGAAAAGGUCUUUAGCCUCAAAAGCUUUAUCUCUCAACUGGACUUCAUGGCAGCUGUUAUAUUUUUUUGCUGUCGUUUGUUUGACAGGAUCCAGUUAUAGGUUCCGAUGUCUGUUUAAAGAAACAAGGAGGCUGUUGGCUCUCAAAUCCCCCCAUUGCUUGUGUGAUCAGCAUUUUCCCAGGCUUUUCUACAUAGUUUGCCAAGCGAAGGGACUGACCUUUUGUAGCAAACACUUUUUCAUUUCAAAAUGCUCACUUUGAUUUUUGUCCCAUUUUAUACUCAUUCCAAACUGUUUACAACCCACUAAAAAUGACUGUGAAUUAUAUGUUUGUAUAAUGGAUUCCUUUUGUGGUCCGAGUGGAAUGUUUACUUUGAACAAUUAGUUAUCUUAGGGUAGAUUGUAACAAGUUGGAAGAAAAAAAAAAGAAUGGGUGAAGUUAUUAUUGUACCUUAACUGCUUUUUAAUUCCUUAUGAUUAUGUGAAAUUUGAGAUACUGUCACUUUAACGUGAGGUUUUAUAUGGUCAUAUUUGCUAGUACCCGGGUACCAUGAGAAAACAUGAGGAAGAUACUUCUAUGACUUAGAAUGCUUCACAGUGUGGAAUAGAAACAAAUAGAUGGGUAUUUGCUGUAAACAUAUUGCUAUGCAUAUUAGGUGGAGUAUGCAUGUGCAAGAAAUUAUUGGAUAAGCAGCAGGAAUGAUGACCUAAAUAUUCUGCGGAGACAUGAAACUUGUCCUUGUUAAUACUGUUACUUCACUCAGUGAACCCUUCAGUCCACUGAGAUCCUACUAAGUGCUUUGGUAUAAAAAUAAAACUUUACGUUGCUAUUUCCCGUUGCUUGAAAUCCAGUCCCCUAAAGUGCAGAUUGUAUUGCCAUAACUAGACAAGUUUUCUCCCAGCCCCGCUAACUUUAUUCUCCUCAUUCUUUUCUACUUUGGAAUAAUCUAUGAUAGCUGGAUCCAGGCACGCACUAAAGGCUGAUCCAUCUAUGAAAAAUGUGCAAUUUGUACUGCUUGGUUUCUGACGAGAGUCUUGCAAACUUUUAUGAUUCCAUCCUCUUCCCGAGAGACUUCUGCUUCCUAGUUUUAUAAGCAGUGAGUGAAAAAAAAAAAGUAAUAAAAACAAAAACAAACUGAUAAAAAUUACAUGCUUUAAACAAAUCUAGAGAACAAGAUAAGCAGUUUUUCUUUUUCUCUCGAGAAUAUUUGUGGACUUGAAAAAAAUAAUGUCCCUAAGGGAAUAAGCUAUGUUGGUGUUUGUUGUUUGUUUGUUUUGGUUUGGAUUUUUCUCACUUUUAUGUCUAUAGCUGAGUGUCCAAAUGCACUUCAUUGCGCAGGAUUCUCAAUGAAGCUCUUGAGAGUAUGCUUCAAAUUAACUUAGCUUUUCUUUCUGAGUUAAAAUUAAGACCAGUUUUUUUUUUGUUUUUUUUUUUUGCCUCUCGGUGUUUUGUUUUGUUUUUGUUUUAAUGCAACCACAGAGACAGCCACCUUCCUGACAGCACUGUUGUGCGACAUCCAAGUUGGAGCUGGCUCUUUCGGGUAGUCAUGCUGGGGCCUCCGUGUCUGUAAGAAAGCCACAUUGAGGGCUAAGAGGGAAGACAAUCCCAAACAGAGUAAACAGGAAAGAGCCAGUAAGAGUAUAAAAGAGAAACCAGGAAAGACAACGGAAAGAAACCAGAGAUGGCAAGGUGGGGAGUUGCGGGUCUGGGUAGAUUUUGCAAAGACAAAAGCAAUUGUGGACAACAGGGUAGGUCUGUGAGUUCCAAAAGGGAGAAGCACAGGGGUUUUUUCAUAUCUAGCAAGUUACCCAAAACUUGCUUUUCUGUCUCAGAUAAAUUUAUCCUUGCUUUGAAAUGACAGAUAGUUCAAUCUUGCAAUAAACUGUAUGUCUUGAAUCU
RNAcentral lists this long non-coding RNA (3163 nucleotides) under Mus musculus (house mouse). RNAcentral describes it as "long non-coding RNA chr2:44145380-44148543". Lineage: Eukaryota; Metazoa; Chordata; Mammalia; Rodentia; Muridae. The record is from RNAcentral.